This 254-nucleotide ribosomal RNA is filed under the name uncultured bacterium. Its description in RNAcentral is "partial 16S ribosomal RNA". It matches the Rfam family "Bacterial small subunit ribosomal RNA", at positions 524 to 776 of the family's 1533-position model. The record is from RNAcentral.
UACGGAGGGGGCAAGCGUUGUUCGGAAUUACUGGGCGUAAAGGGCGCGCAGGCGGCUGCUCAAGUCAGGCGUGAAAGGCCUGGGCUCAACCCGGGAAUUGCGCUUGAGACUGGGCUGGCUUGAGUGCGGGAGAGGAUGGUGGAAUUCCCAGUGUAGAGGUGAAAUUCGUAGAUAUUGGGAAGAACACCGGUGGCUAAGGCGGCUCUCUAGUACGGUACUGACGCUGAGACGCGAAAGCGUGGGGAGCAAACAGG